This 73-nucleotide transfer RNA is filed under the name Pseudomonadota bacterium. RNAcentral describes it as "tRNA-Arg". It matches the Rfam family "tRNA". From Rfam's summary of the family: Transfer RNA (tRNA) molecules are approximately 80 nucleotides in length. Their secondary structure includes four short double-helical elements and three loops (D, anti-codon, and T loops). Lineage: Bacteria; Pseudomonadati; Pseudomonadota. RNAcentral also lists the same sequence under 2 other names. The record is from RNAcentral.
GCGCCCGUAGCUCAACGGACAGAGCGCCUGACUUCGAAUCAGUAGGCUGGGAGUUCGAGUCUCCCCGGGCGCG